CCCCAGGCUACGAACACAACCUGACACAUCCCUACCAUACAGUACAUAAACACACACCCAGUGACCCUCUCCCUAGGCUACGAACACAACCUGACACAUCUCCACCGUACAGUAGAUAAACACACACACACCCAGUGACCCUCUCCCCAGGCUACGAACACAACCUGACACAUCCCCACCGUACAGUACAUAAACACACACACCCAGUGACCCUCUCCCUAGGCUACGAACACAACCUGACACAUCCCUAUCAUACAGUACAUAAACACACACACCCAGUGACCCUCUCCCUAGGCUACGAACACAACCUGACACAUCCCCACUGUACAGUACAUAAACACACACACCCAGUGACCCUCUCCCUAGGCUACGAACACAACCUGACACAUCCCCACCGUACAGUACAUAAACACACACACCCAGUGACCCUCUCCCCAGGCUACGGACACAACCUGACACAUCCCCACUGUACAGUACAUAAACACACACACCCAGUGACCCUCUCCCCAGGCUACGAACACAACCUGACACAUCCCUAUCGUACAGUACAUAAACACACACACCCAGUGACCCUCUCCCCAGGCUACGAACACAACCUGACACAUCCCUAUCGUACAGUACAUAAACACACACACCCAGUGACCCUCUCCCCAGGCUACGAACACAACCUGACACAUCCCCACUGUACAGUACAUAAACACACACGCCCAGUGACCCUCUCCCCAGGCUACGAACACAACCUGACACAUCCCUAUCGUACAGUACAUAAACACACACACCCAGUGACCCUCUCCCCAGGCUACGAACACAACCUGACACAUCCCUAUCAUACAGUACAUAAACACACACACCCAGUGACCCUCUCCCCAGGCUACGAACACAACCUGACACAUCCCUAUCGUACAGUACAUAAACACACACGCCCAGUGACCCUCUCCCCAGGCUACGAACACAACCUGACACAUCCCCACUGUACAGUACAUAAACACACACACCCAGUGACCCUCUCCCCAGGCUACGAACACAACCUGACACAUCCCCACCGUACAGUACAUAAACACACACAUGUACACGUACAUAGACACAAUUUAGGGAACAGAAACAGAAAGAUAGUCUGACACUAAGAAACA
RNAcentral lists this long non-coding RNA (1130 nucleotides) under Oncorhynchus kisutch (coho salmon). RNAcentral's name for it is "lncRNA (ENSOKIG00005028789.1)". Lineage: Eukaryota; Metazoa; Chordata; Actinopteri; Salmoniformes; Salmonidae. The record is from RNAcentral.